This 679-nucleotide ribosomal RNA is filed under the name uncultured Methylotenera sp. Its description in RNAcentral is "bacterial SSU rRNA". It matches the Rfam family "Bacterial small subunit ribosomal RNA", at positions 60 to 732 of the family's 1533-position model. Lineage: Bacteria; Pseudomonadati; Pseudomonadota; Betaproteobacteria; Nitrosomonadales; Methylophilaceae. The record is from RNAcentral.
AGUCGAACGGCAGCACGAGAGCUUGCUCUUGGUGGCGAGUGGCGAACGGGUGAGUAAUAUAUCGGAACGUAUCCAAUAAUGGGGGAUAACUAAUCGAAAGGUUGGCUAAUACCGCAUACGCCCUACGGGGGAAAGCAGGGGAUCUUCGGACCUUGCGUUAAUGGAGCGGCUGAUAUCUGAUUAGCUAGUAGGUGAGGUAAAGGCUCACCUAGGCGACGAUCAGUAGCUGGUCUGAGAGGACGACCAGCCACACUGGAACUGAGACACGGUCCAGACUCCUACGGGAGGCAGCAGUGGGGAAUUUUGGACAAUGGGGGCAACCCUGAUCCAGCCAUUCCGCGUGAGUGAAGAAGGCCUUCGGGUUGUAAAGCUCUUUCGCAAGGGAAGAAACGAUACAGACGAAUAAUCUGUGUUAAUGACGGUACCUUGAUAAGAAGCACCGGCUAACUACGUGCCAGCAGCCGCGGUAAUACGUAGGGUGCGAGCGUUAAUCGGAAUUACUGGGCGUAAAGCGUGCGCAGGCGGUUUUGAAAGUCAGAUGUGAAAUCCCCGGGCUCAACCUGGGAACUGCGUUUGAAACUCCAAAGCUAGAGUAUAGGAGAGGGGGGUAGAAUUCCACGUGUAGCAGUGAAAUGCGUAGAGAUGUGGAGGAAUACCAAUGGCGAAGGCAGCCCCCUGG